Non-coding RNA from Triticum aestivum (bread wheat), 135 nucleotides. NCBI's taxonomy places the organism in Eukaryota, Viridiplantae, Streptophyta, Magnoliopsida, Poales, Poaceae. The record is from Rfam.
CUAAUACUCCCUCCGUCCCAAAAUUUUUGUCUUAAAUUUGUCUAAAUACAGAUGUAUCAAGUCACAUUUUAGUAUUAGGUACAUCCGUACCUACGCAAAUCUAAGAUAAGAAUUUUGGGAAGAAGGGAGUAUACA